CCGUUCACAAGCAGGUACAAAGCCUUCAUUAGAUCUCUUAUCUAAUAGUUAUUGGGCCCAAACCCAUCUUUACCCUGAAGCAACUCUUUGCUAAUAGAGUGGUUGCAUGUUCUCGAUGCAACUGAACUAUUGUGAUUGAUCGAGAACAAUCAACGUCGGUAGCAUACCCACACAUCUACAAUGAUGGAAGACCAUUAGACUUAAUAUUUAUAGAGAGGUUUGGAUUUAGGUCUCAUCUAAUUAGUCAUCAUAUGACUGAUCU
Molecule: long non-coding RNA, 262 nt
Filed under: Elaeis guineensis (African oil palm)
Lineage: Eukaryota; Viridiplantae; Streptophyta; Magnoliopsida; Arecales; Arecaceae
Description: long non-coding RNA (EGUI_LNC068572)
Source: RNAcentral